This 247-nucleotide ribosomal RNA is filed under the name uncultured bacterium. RNAcentral's name for it is "partial 16S ribosomal RNA". It matches the Rfam family "Bacterial small subunit ribosomal RNA", at positions 523 to 769 of the family's 1533-position model. The record is from RNAcentral.
AUACGUAGGAGGCGAGCGUUAUCCGGAUUUAUUGGGCGUAAAGCGCUUGCAGGCGGUUUGAGAAGUUGGAUAUGAAAGCUCCUGGCUUAACUAGGAGAGGCUAUUCAAAACUCUCAGACUAGAGGAUGGUAGAGGAAGGUGGAAUUCCGGGAGUAGUGGUGAAAUGCGUAGAUAUCCGGAGGAACACCAGUGGCGAAAGCGGUCUUCUGGACCAAUACUGACACUCAGACGCGAAAGCUAGGGUAGC